ACGGAAGGCAGCAGUGGGGAAUAUUGGACAAUGGGGGAAACCCUGAUCCAGCGACGCCGCGUGAGUGAAGAAGUAUUUCGGUAUGUAAAGCUCUAUCAGCAAGGAAGAAAAUGACGGUACUUGACUAAGAAGCUCCGGCUAAAUACGUGCCAGCAGCCGCGGUACUACGUAUGGAGCAAGCGUUAUCCGGAUUUACUGGGUGUAAAGGGAGCGUAGACGGCAAAGCAAGUCCGAAGUGAAAUCCCGGGGCUCAACCCCGGAACUGCUUUGGAAACUGUUUAGCUAGAGUGCAGGAGAGGUAAGCGGAAUUCCUAGUGUAGCGGUGAAAUGCGUAGAUAUUAGGAGGAACACCAGUGGCGAAGGCGGCUUACUGGACUGUAACUGACGUUGAGGCUCGAAAGCGUGGGGAGCAAACAGGAUUAGAUACCCUGGUA
RNAcentral lists this ribosomal RNA (434 nucleotides) under uncultured Clostridium sp. RNAcentral describes it as "partial 16S ribosomal RNA". It matches the Rfam family "Bacterial small subunit ribosomal RNA", at positions 341 to 792 of the family's 1533-position model. Lineage: Bacteria; Bacillati; Bacillota; Clostridia; Eubacteriales; Clostridiaceae. The record is from RNAcentral.